Molecule: non-coding RNA, 73 nt
Organism: Delphinapterus leucas (beluga whale)
Lineage: Eukaryota; Metazoa; Chordata; Mammalia; Artiodactyla; Monodontidae
Source: the annotation of a RefSeq genome assembly
UCCCUGGUGGUCCAGUGGUUAGGACUUGACAUUUUUCACUGCCAUGGCCCAGGUUCAAUCCCUGGUUGGGGAA